This 1793-nucleotide long non-coding RNA is filed under the name Homo sapiens (human). RNAcentral's name for it is "HSALNT0334623". Lineage: Eukaryota; Metazoa; Chordata; Mammalia; Primates; Hominidae. The record is from RNAcentral.
UACUCAAAAUUCCAAAGGAAAAUUAUUUCCAAGAUAAAACUCCAAACACAUCAUGAAACUAUAUGACUAAGGGAGAAAAAAGACAUUUUCAGAUAAGCAAGAUCUCAAAUAAUUUGCCUCCCAUGCAACCUUUCUUGUGAAACUACUUGAGGAUGUGCUCCAUCAAAACAAGAUAGUAAACCAAGACAUAGGAAGAUAUGAAGUACAGGAAACAGAGUCAACACAGGAAGGAGAAUAAGGAAUUUCCCUCCAGGAUGGCAAAGGAGAUCCCAGGGUGAUAGCUGCACCAGGAGUUGAGAGUACCCAGUCUAGAUUGGAGCUGUGUGAUUCAAGAGACAGACAUGUUAAAGGAUGUUUGAGCAAUACCCCUGAAGCCAUGGAAUGGUUUUGUGAAUCUGAGGACAGAAUGGCCAGAAUGAGAGCUCCAUGCGGGCAGAAAUUUUUGUCUGCUUUGUUCAAUGCUGUGUCCCUAGUGCCUAGAACAGUAUCUGGCACAUGGUUGCAUGGUUGGAAGGCCAUGUCUGCAGGCUUCUUCCAGGCUACCAGCCAGAAAGUCUGAACUAAUUUCCUGGAGGGAAAACAAAGGCCCCACCUUGAACAAAUCCCAAGGCCAAGGGAAAUCCUUGCUUCCCACAUUUCUACAGCUGCCCCACCUCCAAGUGUGGCUCAUACCCCCACCUGUGAACCCAGUACACCCGGCUGGAUUUCACGGUGGGAGGAUGGCCUUUUUCCCUGAGUAUCAAUGUUUUGGGCUCUGAAAGAUUCUCAAAGUGUCCACCAAGAAGCCCUGUCUUAUAGACCUACUGCAGGCCUGCUCUGGAUAAACUUGUGAAUGAGAUGAAAUCCAGCUUCUUUUGGCCCAUUCAGUGAUCCUUUUCCCCAGCAUUUUGUCAACUGGCUGUUGACUGCAGUUUACCUUGCUAACUGAGACCAUAUUUCCAAAGGGAAAGUACAUUAAGACAUGAGGGAUCUGUGGAGCUUGGGUACAGUGGCUUAUGCUUGUAAUCCCAGCACUUUGGGAGGCCAAGGCAGGAGGAUCGCUUGAGGCCAGAAGUUUGAGACCAGCCUAGGCAAUAUAGGGAGACCCCAUCUCUACAAAAAAUAAAAAAUUAGCUGGCACACAACUGUAGUCCCAGCUACUCUGGAGGCUGAGGCAGGAGUAUAGCUUGAGGCCAGAAGUUUGAGACUAGCCUAGGCAACAUAGGGAGACCCCAUCUCUACAAAAAAUAAAAAAUUAGCUGGCACACAACUGUAGUCCCAGCUACUCUGGAGGCUGAGGCAGGAGUAUAGCUUGAGCCCAGGAGUUUGAGACUACAGUGAGCUAUGAUCACAUCACUGCACUCCAGCCUGGGUGACAGAGUGACCCUGUCUCAUGAAAAAAAUAAAAGGGGUCUGUGGGCCACACUGGGAGAGGAGAACUUGAGACGAAGAUGUAUAAACUUCAAAGUUUGAAACUUUCAGGAUAGAUUCAGUGAUUUGGGGUGCAAUGGAAAGAAUAUUUAAAAUUCAAACUGGUUUACGCAAUUGUAAGACAAACGGGGGCUCUUCCUUCAUUUCAAAAGCAUCCCUUUAUUUACUUCUGCUCAUCAAAUCUAGCUUUCUAUUCUCUCUGUAUCUUUUCCUCAGCUGCCUUGCAGGAGGGUUUCUGAUCAUACUAUGACAUGAAUGGUGUACAUUAAAUGUAUCAUCACUGCUCACACAUUUUCAUUUCCAGAGUGAAAUGAAAGAAUUACUAAGAAAUAUUAGAAUUACUCUUAUGGUGGGACAUGCAUCAGCAGCAGGUGAAUUAGAAA